This 433-nucleotide ribosomal RNA is filed under the name uncultured bacterium. RNAcentral's name for it is "partial 16S ribosomal RNA". It matches the Rfam family "Bacterial small subunit ribosomal RNA", at positions 29 to 507 of the family's 1533-position model. The record is from RNAcentral.
AACGAACGCUGGCGGCAUGCCUAACACAUGCAAGUCGAACGAGACCUUCGGGUCUAGUGGCGCACGGGUGCGUAACGCGUGGGAACCUGCCCUUAGGUUCGGAAUAACUCCCCGUAAGGGGUGCUAAUACCGGUUAAUCUCUUCGGACCAAGGAUUUACCGCUUUUGGAUGGGCCCUCGUUGGUUUAGCUGGUUGGUAGGGUAAACGCCAACCAAGGCGAUGAUCCUGAGCUGGUCGGAGAGGAUGCUCAGCCACACUAGGACUGAGGCCCGGCCCAGACUCCUACGGGAGGCAGGAGUAGGGAAUAUUGGACGAUGGGCGAAAGCCUGAUCAAGCAAUGCCGCGUGAGUGAUGAAGGCCUUAGGGUUGUAAAGCUCUUUUACCCGGGAUGAUAAUGACAGUACCGGGAGAAUAAGCUCCGGCUAACUCCGUG